This 2026-nucleotide long non-coding RNA is filed under the name Sinocyclocheilus grahami. RNAcentral's name for it is "lncRNA (ENSSGRG00000013807.1)". The record is from RNAcentral. Lineage: Eukaryota; Metazoa; Chordata; Actinopteri; Cypriniformes; Cyprinidae.
UUUUUUUAUAUAAAGGUAUGAUUAUUAAUUGUGCGUCUUCUACCAUUUGUCUUUUCCAGACCGGGUCAAAAUAGGAGACUGACCAUCGCAGGCCCAGGUGGAGGUAGGGGGCGCGGAAUCAAUUUGCUGAGGUAAGAAUCUGUUCUUGUGUUAGAAAAUGCUUGUAAUAAACGCAUGUUGGAUUUGUUCUUAAUGUAUGUCAAACCCUAUCAGGCGUGGACUGUCAGAUAGUGGUGGAGGACCCCCAGCCAAACAGAGAGACAUCGAAGGGGCACUCUUGAGGCUGGCAGGGGACCAGCGAGCCAGGAGAGAUUCACGCCAUGACAGCGAUGCUGAGGAUGAUGACGAUGUCAAAAAACCAGCGUUGCAGUCAUCUGUGGUUGCUACCUCCAAAGAACGUACACGCCGAGAUCUUAUUCAAGAUCAGACAAUGGAUGAGAGAGGAAAGCAGAGAAACCGGCGCAUGUUUGGCCUGUUGAUGGGAACAUUGCAGAAGUUCAAACAAGAGUCUACAGUGUCCACAGAGCGGUUAAAAAGACGCCAAGAAAUCGAGCAGAAAUUGGAAGUGCAGGCAGAACAGGAGCGUAAAAAAGUUGAGAGUGAAAGGAGAGAGCUCUUUGAAGAAAGACGUGCCAAACAAACAGAGAUGCGUCUUCUGGAGCACAAAGUGGAGCUCGCUCAACUGCAAGAAGAGUGGAAUGCACAUAAUUCUAAGCUCAUCAAGUUCAUUCGAACAAAGACCAAUCUUCUACCCUUCUACCUGCCCGGGCGAAUGUGCUCUGCUACUCAAAAGCUCCUGGAGGAGUCUCAGAAAAAAUUAAAUGGUGUGUUUGAUGAGAGACGUGAAGCCUUUGCAGAGCAACUCAACAAAAUGGAGGCUCGGCCAAGGCGUCAGUCCCAAAGGACAGGUGACAAAGAAAAGGAGGAUAACCGUCGGUCUGAAGAGACGAAGAAAGAAGAUCAAGAGGAGGGUAAGGCUGGAGUAGGGCGGACAGGUAACAGACAUGAUGUGGAGAUGGAGGACGAGGAGGAAGAUCUAGUCGAGGAGGAAGGAGAGGAGAGCUUUGAGAUUAGGGAGAGGGAGGGGGAUCAGGAGCAGGGUGAGGAGAAGGACAAACACGAGGAGAGUGAGAGGAAGGCAGAUGAGGAAGAUGAGGAGGAGGAGGAUAUGGGAGCAAGUGAGGUUAAGGAAGAGGGGGAAGAGCAGAUGGAGGGCACAGAAGUUGAGAGGGAAGAUGAGGCACAGGGUAAGUUGCUGGUUGAGAGUCCAGAAGCCACAGUUGAAGAGGUAGGUAAUGUGCAAAAGGAGCAAGAGCAGGAGACCGAGAACGAGACUCUGCAGGAUGUUGUAACAGACUCUCAGCAAACCCCUGAAAGCCACAUGGAAAUACAGCCUGAGGAAUGUAAACCGCCUCAACUGGACGUCCCGAUCUCUAGUGUAACGGAACAUGACACCAAACAAGAUGAUACGGCGUCUGAUACCCAACAGCUACAGCUUGAAACUGACCCAGAAGUCCUUUCUCAAGCGCAAAACCAAGAACCAUCAGUCCAACCACAAGAAGCCAAAGCGGACACAAAGGAAGCUAGCAAGGAGGCAGAUGACUCACGCGGACGGGCCAAAAUCCAUGCCAAGAGGAGCAAGAGCCAAAGUAGCAGCAGCUCCUCUUCCAGUUCCUCUUCAAGCUCCUCCUCCAGUGGAUCCAGCUCCUCUUCCAGUGGCUCCAGUAGUAAGAGCAGUUCAUCUGGCUCCUCAUCAUCUUCCAGUUCACGCUCCCGUAGUCAUGGCAGGGAUAGAGACGGCCGAGACCACAAGCGCCGCAGGAGACCAUCGGACAGGGAGCACAGAAAGAGUGGCAGUGAGAGGGGACACAAGUCCUCAAAAGGCAGUGGACGAGAAAACAAGAGCUCCAAAGACAAGAACUCCAAACCUGACAGGAAGAGGACGAGUUCAGAAGGAAGCCGGUCAGGAAAGAGGUCCUCCAGAAGCGAGAGAGAUCGGAAGUCUGAUCGAAAGGAUCGACGUUGA